RNAcentral lists this ribosomal RNA (497 nucleotides) under uncultured bacterium. RNAcentral's name for it is "partial 16S ribosomal RNA". It matches the Rfam family "Bacterial small subunit ribosomal RNA", at positions 28 to 507 of the family's 1533-position model. The record is from RNAcentral.
GAUGAACGCUGGCGGCGUGCCUAAUACAUGCAAGUCGAGCGAACAGACGAGGAGCUUGCUCCUCUGACGUUAGCGGCGGACGGGUGAGUAACACGUGGAUAACCUACCUAUAAGACUGGGAUAACUUCGGGAAACCGGAGCUAAUACCGGAUAACAUGUUGAACCGCAUGGUUCAACAGUGAAAGACGGUUUUGCUGUCACUUAUAGAUGGAUCCGCGCCGCAUUAGCUAGUUGGUAAGGUAACGGCUUACCAAGGCUACGAUGCGUAGCCGACCUGAGAGGGUGAUCGGCCACACUGGAACUGAGACACGGUCCAGACUCCUACGGGAGGCAGCAGUAGGGAAUCUUGCGCAAUGGGCGAAAGCCUGACGGAGCAACACCGCGUGGGUGAAGAAGGUCUUCGGAUCGUAAAACUCUGUUAUUGGGGAAGAACAAAUGUAUAAGUAACUAUGCACGUCUUGACGGUACCUAAACAGAAAGCCACGGCUAACUACGUG